This is a long non-coding RNA of Patella vulgata (common limpet), 878 nucleotides long. RefSeq lists it as uncharacterized. Lineage: Eukaryota; Metazoa; Mollusca; Gastropoda; Patellidae. The record is from RefSeq and is a predicted model, not a curated record. The transcript is spliced from 3 exons.
UCAAGUAUUUUUGGAUUGCUUGGCACAUCAUCAAGACGUACAGGAAACUCUACACCAGGAGAUCUAAGAACACAUGAGUUGUCAUGGUGAUUUGACAGCAGAUACUUUACCUAAGAUGAAAUAUUUAACAGCAUGUUUAAAAGAGUCGUUUAGACAAAUAUAUUUUUGAAUAACCGACGGAAGAUGAGGGAUCCAAAAUAUGUAAAAGAUCCAACCGUUUAUAGACCAGAAAGGUGGUUACGAGAUGAGAAAGGUGAAAAGGCAGAACAAAUACCUAGUAUAGGUUUAAUAUCGUUCAAUAUAGGUGUUAGAAACUGUGUUGGUAGACGAUUCGCUGAACAAGAAAUUUAUUUAGCAGUUGCUAAGAUUAUCCAGAACUUCAAAAUAAGCACAAACCACAACUCGGCAGAAGUCACAUAUACCCCUUUUUGCACUUUGACUGACCAACCAAUGCUCACGUUUGAAGAAUGAAUUUAAAAUAAGUUCCUGUGACAGAACACAAUAACCAUGUACUUACAUUAAGUGUACAUUAUUACGUAUAAUCAGUACACCAAUGAGAUCAUUUCAAAUAAGAGAUUAUUUAUACAGCUGAAGAUGUCUGGAUGCAUGGUGUUCCACGGGCUUCUGUUCUGGGGUCUCUGGUUGUUAAUACACCUGUUGGUGUUAUAGCAUAAAAUCAAAAUAGAGUCUUUCUGAUGUUAUUUUAUACGCAAAAAUCAACCAAUAAUGAUCUGUACUAAAAAAAAAGAAAAACUAAAACAUGCUUCAUGAAGUGGCAAUGUCGAUUGUCUGUGAUUUGACUCUACUGUUCAUUUUAAGGUGUUAAAAUUAGAUUUUAUGCAAAACCGAAGACAAGAUCUGCUAAUCCAUAAGGUGGG